Molecule: non-coding RNA, 48 nt
Filed under: Schistosoma margrebowiei
Lineage: Eukaryota; Metazoa; Platyhelminthes; Trematoda; Strigeidida; Schistosomatidae
Source: RNAcentral
AUCUCGCCGACUAGUCCCAAAUAGGACGAAACACGCGUCAAACUAGAU